RNAcentral lists this long non-coding RNA (305 nucleotides) under Mytilus galloprovincialis (Mediterranean mussel). The record is from RNAcentral. Lineage: Eukaryota; Metazoa; Mollusca; Bivalvia; Mytilida; Mytilidae.
CAAAAAAUGUCUUCACAAAGUAGCAGUUAUAUUUUCACACCUGAAAAGUUUGAUGUACCAUAUAUUUCACUACCUGAUAGACUGCAGCAUUUGGCGACAGAACAUCCCGAAAGAGAGGCAAUGAUAUGCUGGUCAACAGACGGACACAGAAAAUCGAUAACAUAUGCAGAACUUUACACCAGAUCUGAAUUGUUUGCAAAAGGCUUAGCAACAUUUGGAUUUGAGAGAAAUAGCGUUAUUGCUGUGACCAAUACCAACUGUACAGAAUGGCUUGUUUGCACACUUGGGUCACAAAUGGCAGGACU